CCUACGGGUGGCAGCAGUGGGGAAUAUUGCACAAUGGGGGGAACCCUGAUGCAGCGACGCCGCGUGGGUGAGGAAGUACUUCGGUAUGUAAAGCCCUAUCAGCAGGGAAGUAAAUGACGGUACCUGUCUAUGAAGCCCUGGCCAAUUACGUGCCAGCAGCCGCGGUAAUACGUAGGGGGCAAGCGUUAUCCGGAUUUACUGGGUGUAAAGGGAGCGUAGACGGCGUGCCAAGUCUGAUGUGAAAGGCCGGGGCUCAACCCCGAGACUGCAGUGGAAACUGGCAUGCUGGAGUGCCGGAGGGGUAAGCGGAAUUCGUGGUGUAGCGGUGAAAUGCGUAGAUAUUAGGAAGAACACCGAUGGCGAAGGCAGCUUGCUGGACGGUAACUGACGUUGAGGCUCGAAAGCGUGGGGAGCAAACAGGAUUAGAUACCCCAGUAGUC
Molecule: ribosomal RNA, 440 nt
Filed under: uncultured bacterium
Lineage: Bacteria
Description: partial 16S ribosomal RNA
Rfam family: Bacterial small subunit ribosomal RNA
Source: RNAcentral